Long non-coding RNA from Micropterus salmoides (largemouth bass), 321 nucleotides. RefSeq lists it as uncharacterized. NCBI's taxonomy places the organism in Eukaryota, Metazoa, Chordata, Actinopteri, Centrarchiformes, Centrarchidae. The record is from RefSeq and is a predicted model, not a curated record. The transcript is spliced from 2 exons.
UUCGACGUGACCGAGUUAGCUCAGGCUGAGGAGCUAAUGCUAUAUGUUACUGUGCGUUAGCAGAGGUAGCUUUUACCCAGUGCUUGUCUAGUUGGAGGUUGGUAGCCUGGGGCAUUACCAGCUUAUCCUGGAGUCAUAGUGUGGAUCAGAUGUCCCACCUGGUGCCAGACAGCUGCAGAGACCUGGAACACAUCCUCAGAGUUCUGGACGUCUGUAUCUGAUGGCGUGGACUGACGUGGAAAGGCCUUCUCCCCUUCUGUACACUUUUAGUUUUAAUUGUUGUUCUUGUGUGUUUUGCAAUACAUUCUCUAUAUAUUUGCA